This 302-nucleotide ribosomal RNA is filed under the name uncultured bacterium. RNAcentral's name for it is "bacterial SSU rRNA". It matches the Rfam family "Bacterial small subunit ribosomal RNA", at positions 30 to 334 of the family's 1533-position model. The record is from RNAcentral.
AUUGAACGCUGGCGGCAUGCCUUACACAUGCAAGUCGAACGGUAACAGGUCUUCGGACGCUGACGAGUGGCGAACGGGUGAGUAAUACAUCGGAACGUGCCCAGUCGUGGGGGAUAACUACCCGAAAGAGUAGCUAAUACCGCAUACGAUCUGAGGAUGAAAGCGGGGGACCUUCGGGCCUCGCGCGAUUGGAGCGGCCGAUGGCAGAUUAGGUAGUUGGUAGGGUGAUAGCCUACCAAGGCGACGAUCGGUAGCCGACCUGAGAGGGUGAUCGGCCACAUUGGAACUGAGACACGGCCCAG